Molecule: long non-coding RNA, 208 nt
Filed under: Elaeis guineensis (African oil palm)
Lineage: Eukaryota; Viridiplantae; Streptophyta; Magnoliopsida; Arecales; Arecaceae
Description: long non-coding RNA (EGUI_LNC000463)
Source: RNAcentral
ACCAACCGGCUGGCCGAUCGACUAGUCGACCGCCCAACUUUGGCGGACGACUCCGACUGACCAGCGGGCAUACCAACCGAUUAACGGUCGGGGCGCCCCGACCAACAGCCGGGAGCGCCCGACUGACGGACGCUACCGACGGCCAUUCAAUGGCCCAUCGCCGACUGAGGAUAUGUCGGGCGUAUCUUUUCCGACCGACCGAACCCAA